This 76-nucleotide transfer RNA is filed under the name Candidatus Parcubacteria bacterium. Its description in RNAcentral is "tRNA-Glu". It matches the Rfam family "tRNA". From Rfam's summary of the family: Transfer RNA (tRNA) molecules are approximately 80 nucleotides in length. Their secondary structure includes four short double-helical elements and three loops (D, anti-codon, and T loops). Lineage: Bacteria; Candidatus Parcubacteria. The record is from RNAcentral.
GCCGCCAUCGUCUAGUGGCCUAGGACAUCAGCUUCUCAAGCUGAAAACACCGGUUCAAAUCCGGUUGGCGGCACAA